AUGAAAAAAGAAUCCCAGGCAACCCCUGACUCUAGUGGGAUUUUUCCCUGGGCAGAGGCUGCGGGCGGAGGCUGCGGAAGCAGAUCCCGAGGAUGGCCAGGCUGGCGGCCGCCCCCACGCCCAGGGAUCCGAAGGUUUCCAGGGAAGAGGGAAGUGGGAAGCGGCCCCGCCGCUCCUCCAUGUCCCUGGAGACGGCUUCCAGCUGGAAGAGCGUUCCCAAAAUCCCGCAGACGUGGAAAACCUGGUGGCUGUGCCCUGCGACGGAAAACGCCGAGAAUUCCACGGAAAUUCCACGGAAAUUCCACGGAAAUUCCACGGGAGUUCCGUGGGGGUUCGGAUGGGCCAAGUGGGUUCCACACCCCCAGAAUGCUCCGGGGGCUUGGAGCGCCCUGGGAUGGUGGGAGGUGUCCCUGCCCAUCCAAAGCAUCCCGGGAUUCCAGGAUUCCAGGAUUGCAUCGCACUCAGGUCACUUCACCUGGCAUCCAGGGAAUAUUUAUCCUACAAAUUCCUGCUCCUGAUUCCUGGGAUUUGAUCAUCCUAAAAAUUUCUACUCCCAGUGCUUGUGGCUUGUGGGGGGGUUUACUCCUAGGAUUCCAUAGGGUUCAUUCCCAGCAUUCCCUGGGUUCAUUCCUGGGAUCCCCUGGGGUCAUUCCUGGCAUUCCCCUGGGGUUUAUUCCUGGCAUUCCCUGGCUUUAUUCUUGGGAUUCCCUGGGUCCAUUCCCUGGGUUCCCUGAGGUCAUUCACAUCAUUCCCUGGGUCCAUUCCCUGGGUCCAUUCCCUGGAUUCCCCGGGGUCACUCCCGGCAUUCCCGGGGUCCAUUCCCUGGGUCCAUUCCCUGGGUCCAUUCCCUGGGUUCAUUCCCUGGGUUCAUUCCCUGGAUUCCCCGAGGUCAUUCCUGGCAUUCCCUGGGUUCAUUCCCUGGGGUCCACUCCCUGGGGUCCAUUCCCUGGGUUUAUUCCCUGGAUUCCCCGAGGUCAUUCACAUCAUUCCCUGGGUCCAUUCCCUGGGUCCAUUCCCUGGAUUCCCCGGGGUCACUCCCGGCAUUCCCGGGGUCCAUUCCCUGGGUCCAUUCCCUGGGUCCAUUCCCUGGAUUCCCCGGGGUCACUCCCGGCAUUCCCGGGGUCCAUUCCCUGGGUCCAUUCCCUGGGUCCAUUCCCUGGAUUCCCCGGGGUCACUCCCGGCAUUCCCGGGGUCCAUUCCCUGGGUCCAUUCCCUGGGUCCAUUCCCUGGAUUCCCCGGGGUCACUCCCGGCAUUCCCGGGGUCCAUUCCCUGGGUCCAUUCCCUGGGUCCAUUCCCUGGGUCCCCCCCCCCCCCCCCCCCCCCCCCCCCCCCCCCCCCCCCCCCCCCCCCCCCCCCCCCCCCCCCCCCCCCCCCCCCCCCCCCCCCCCCCCCC
Molecule: long non-coding RNA, 1394 nt
Filed under: Ficedula albicollis (Collared flycatcher)
Lineage: Eukaryota; Metazoa; Chordata; Aves; Passeriformes; Muscicapidae
Description: lncRNA (ENSFALG00000026906.1)
Source: RNAcentral